This 405-nucleotide ribosomal RNA is filed under the name Pithecopus azureus group sp. ABGD cluster 3. RNAcentral describes it as "Phyllomedusa azurea group sp. ABGD cluster 3 partial large subunit ribosomal RNA". It matches the Rfam family "Bacterial large subunit ribosomal RNA", at positions 1813 to 2419 of the family's 2925-position model. Lineage: Eukaryota; Metazoa; Chordata; Amphibia; Anura; Hylidae. The record is from RNAcentral.
ACAUCGCCUCUUGAUAAACCUAUAAGAGGUCCAGCCUGCCCAGUGACCCUGUUUAACGGCCGCGGUAUCCUAACCGUGCGAAGGUAGCGUAAUCACUUGUUCUUUAAAUGAGGACUAGUAUGAAUGGCAUCACGAGGGUUAUACUGUCUCCUCCCCCUAAUCAGUGAAACUAAUCUCCUCGUGAAGAAGCGAGAAUAAAUUUAUAAGACGAGAAGACCCUAUGGAGCUUCAAACUUCCAGCAAUUAUCUUUUUUAUAUUAACCUUAAGGUUUUAGUACUAACUUUAAUAAUAUGCCUGUCAGUUUUUGGUUGGGGUGACCGCGGAGUAAAACCUACCCUCCGCAAUGAAUAACCAUUUAAGCAAAAAACUACAAUUUUAUGCAUCAAAAAAUUGACACUAUUGAC